This 488-nucleotide ribosomal RNA is filed under the name Neogloboquadrina pachyderma. RNAcentral's name for it is "SSU rRNA". It matches the Rfam family "Eukaryotic small subunit ribosomal RNA", at positions 1178 to 1461 of the family's 1831-position model. Lineage: Eukaryota; Foraminifera; Rotaliida; Globorotaliidae. The record is from RNAcentral.
GGAGCAUGUGGCUUAAUUUGACUCAACGCGGGAAAUCUUACCGGGUCCGGACACACUGAGGAUUGACAGGCAAUAUCUCAUGUUAACGGUAAGUUUACUUACCGCUUAACAUCGAGUGUUAAAUAUGCUAGUCCUUUCAUGAUUAUGUGAUAGGUGGUGCAUGGCCGUUCUUAGUUCGUGGAGUGAUCUGUCUGCUUAAUUGCGUUUCACUAAGGGCCCAUAAAUUCAAGGUAUGUUAGCUCUCGUCGCUCUAUGGACCCCUUAACUCCAAUAUUCUUAUUGUGUUAAGCGCGUGUCUUUAUUUUAAGAGUUUUAAGACACUGCGCAUGCUGUUGGGCUCUGAAAGCAACGAACGUGACCGCAACGUCUUGUUGCCUUAAACUAGCGUAUAUUGCAAUUUAUUGUAAUAUCGCUUACAGAGGCUAUUUAAAACUAGACGGACCGCUGUUUCUUUCUUAAACCAGAGGAAGGUUGCGGCAAUAACAGGU